AGAGUUUGAUCAUGGCUCAGAACGAACGUUGGCGGCGUGGAUUAGGCAUGCAAGUCGAACGCGAAAGGGGUAGCAAUACCCCGAGUAAAGUGGCGAACGGGUGAGUAACGCGUAGGGAACCUGCCUUCGAGUGGGGGAUAACACCUCUAACGGGGUGCUAAUACCGCAUGACACUGCGAUAUCGCAUGGUGUUGCAGUCAAAGGUGGCCUCUGUUUACAAGCUACCGCUCAAAGAUGGUCCUGCGUCCCAUUAGCUAGUUGGCGGGGUAACGGCCCACCAAGGCGACGAUGGGUAGCCGAUCUGAGAGGAUGACCGACCACACUGGGACUGAGAUACGGCCCAGACUCCUACGGGAGGCAGCAGUCGAGAGGCUUCGGCAAUGGGGGAAACCCUGACCGAGCGACGCCGCGUGGAGGAUGAAGGCCUUUGGGUUGUAAACUCCUGUCAUGAGGGAAGAAACGUCACCGUUCGAAUAGGGCGGUGACCUGACGGUACCUCAAGAAGAAGCCACGGCUAACUUCGUGCCAGCAGCCGCGGUAAUACGAAGGUGGCAAGCGUUGUUCGGAUUUACUGGGCGUAAAGAGCACGUAGGCGGUUGGGAAAGCCUCUUGGGAAAUCUCCCGGCUUAACCGGGAAAGGUCGAGAGGAACUAUUCAGCUAGAGGACGGGAGAGGAGCGCGGAAUUCCCGGUGUAGCGGUGAAAUGCGUAGAUAUCGGGAAGAAGGCCGGUGGCGAAGGC
RNAcentral lists this ribosomal RNA (740 nucleotides) under uncultured bacterium. Its description in RNAcentral is "bacterial SSU rRNA". It matches the Rfam family "Bacterial small subunit ribosomal RNA", at positions 8 to 722 of the family's 1533-position model. The record is from RNAcentral.